Molecule: long non-coding RNA, 1128 nt
Filed under: Sinocyclocheilus anshuiensis
Lineage: Eukaryota; Metazoa; Chordata; Actinopteri; Cypriniformes; Cyprinidae
Description: lncRNA (ENSSANG00000018203.1)
Source: RNAcentral
CCCGUCAAAACCCGUUGGUCAGAAUAAAGGUGACCAGGGGGUUUUUGAUCAAUUCCAAUGCACAAAUUCCAUAUUGCAAGUUUUCAAACAUUUACAUGUAGACAUUAUAUCAUCCUUAAUGAUUUCUCCUUCUGCCCUCUCAGGGAUGCCAUUCCAUGCCUGACCUACAGAGGGAGACACUGCUGGAGGAGCUGGAGAUAACGCUGCUUGAUCGGCCUCCAACCUCUCCAAGGUUGGGCUGUUACAAAGUACCCUUACAACAUACCAAUUACAGUGUCUAUGUGCAAGAGUAAUAGGAACUGAAACUCAUUUGUGUUUUUAGAUUAUUACAGGAGAGUGAAUACGAGGAUGACGGUAACUGUGAGACAGAUCUGUGCUCGCUUAUAGAAUCCCUGACCUGCUAUAGUUCCAGCAGACUCCAAAGGCUCAAGCAAAAACUACAGGUACAGGAAUAAACUCACUGCAGACAGAAUUAUGUGCAAGACCUAUGACGCCUGGAAAUCAAACUUUAAAGAUGGGUGUUUCUUUUUAGAAAAUGAUGGAGGAAGAUGAAGAAGCACAAAGUUCUUGUGAAGAAACCUCUGCACCCACAAGGAGACGUGGUCAGUGUGGGGUUUUCUCCUCAAAUCAUCAUGCGCACAGCAGUGGCCCGAGUGUCCGAUAGAGUUCUCCCAGAGGCCAUCAAAGUCAGCAUGUACCCACCAGUCUACAAUGACCUUACUAAAGAGAUUGAUUCAGCAUCGGUCGCUCUGAUGGAUCAGAACUUGGUUGAAGAAAAUAUGGCAAUAAGCAAAGUCUUUGAAGAAUUAUCCAAAAGUAUUUCAACAAAGUAUUUCAACUUUGAUGAGGUAAGUUGAUUAAGAGCUUGAGGAUUAGCUGUAGUAUUUUCAAAUGUAGAUGUUUUAUGGGUGAAGUUUCACAGCAUCCUCAUAUUAUGAAGUUAAUAAGAAUAUUAAAAGCCGCUUUCGAUCUUUUGAAGGACCCCAGGAUUGAGCCUGCCCUGACAAAUGCCACAUGCUGCCCAAAAAGAGUAAUUAACAACAAACUAAUCAACCCAUCACUCAGGAGGCCAAACCCAUACGGCAUAUCCCACAGGUGCUCUCUUCUUUCUUAUUAUUUACUUUUACU